Molecule: ribosomal RNA, 2155 nt
Filed under: Campylobacter coli
Lineage: Bacteria; Pseudomonadati; Campylobacterota; Epsilonproteobacteria; Campylobacterales; Campylobacteraceae
Description: partial 23S ribosomal RNA
Rfam family: Bacterial large subunit ribosomal RNA
Source: RNAcentral
GGGCAUACACCAAUGUACCAAACCCUAUCAAACUCCGAAUACCUUAUAUGUAAUCACAGCAGUCAGGCGGCGAGUGAUAAAAUCCGUCGUCAAGAGGGAAACAACCCAGACUACCAGCUAAGGUCCCUAAAUCUUACUUAAGUGGAAAACGAUGUGAAGUUACUUAAACAACCAGGAGGUUGGCUUAGAAGCAGCCAUCCUUUAAAGAAAGCGUAAUAGCUCACUGGUCUAGUGAUUUUGCGCGGAAAAUAUAACGGGGCUAAAGUAAGUACCGAAGCUGUAGACUUGCGCACAACUUAGAUUAUUUAAGUUUAGAAUAUGAGAAACUAAGUUAUAUGUUUAGUUAUAUUUUUACUGAUUUUUAUAGAGUAAAGAUAGAAAUAAAACUUAGUAAAAUCAGUAAAAAUAUUCUUAGACUAAAGUUAAGUAGUUUAAGUUGUGUGCAAGUGGUAGGAGAGCGUUCUAUUUGCGUCGAAGGUAUACCGGUAAGGAGUGCUGGAGCGAAUAGAAGUGAGCAUGCAGGCAUGAGUAGCGAUAAUUAAUGUGAGAAUCAUUAACGCCGUAAACCCAAGGUUUCCUACGCGAUGCUCGUCAUCGUAGGGUUAGUCGGGUCCUAAGUCGAGUCCGAAAGGGGUAGACGAUGGCAAAUUGGUUAAUAUUCCAAUACCAACAUUAGUGUGCGAUGGAAGGACGCUUAGGGCUAAGGGGGCUAGCGGAUGGAAGUGCUAGUCUAAGGUCGUAGGAGGUUAUACAGGCAAAUCCGUAUAACAAUACUCCGAGAACUGAAAGGCUUUUUGAAGUCUUCGGAUGGAUAGAAGAACCCCUGAUGCCGUCGAGCCAAGAAAAGUUUCUAAGUUUAGCUAAUGUUGCCCGUACCGUAAACCGACACAGGUGGGUGGGAUGAGUAUUCUAAGGCGCGUGGAAGAACUCUCUUUAAGGAACUCUGCAAAAUAGCACCGUAUCUUCGGUAUAAGGUGUGGUUCGCUUCGUAUUAGGAUUUACUCCGAAAGCGAAGAAACUUACAACAAAGAGUCCCUCCCGACUGUUUACCAAAAACACAGCACUCUGCUAACUCGUAAGAGGAUGUAUAGGGUGUGACGCCUGCCCGGUGCUCGAAGGUUAAUUGAUGGGGUUAGCAUUAGCGAAGCUCUUGAUCGAAGCCCGAGUAAACGGCGGCCGUAACUAUAACGGUCCUAAGGUAGCGAAAUUCCUUGUCGGUUAAAUACCGACCUGCAUGAAUGGCGUAACGAGAUGGGAGCUGUCUCAAAGAGGGAUCCAGUGAAAUUGUAGUGGAGGUGAAAAUUCCUCCUACCCGCGGCAAGACGGAAAGACCCCGUGGACCUUUACUACAGCUUGACACUGCUAUUUGGAUAAGAAUGUGCAGGAUAGGUGGGAGGCUUUGAGUAUAUGACGCCAGUUGUAUAUGAGCCAUUGUUGAGAUACCACUCUUUCUUAUUUGGGUAGCUAACCAGCUUGAGUUAUCCUCAAGUGGGACAAUGUCUGGUGGGUAGUUUGACUGGGGCGGUCGCCUCCCAAAUAAUAACGGAGGCUUACAAAGGUUGGCUCAGAACGGUUGGAAAUCGUUCGUAGAGUAUAAAGGUAUAAGCCAGCUUAACUGCAAGACAUACAAGUCAAGCAGAGACGAAAGUCGGUCUUAGUGAUCCGGUGGUUCUGUGUGGAAGGGCCAUCGCUCAAAGGAUAAAAGGUACCCCGGGGAUAACAGGCUGAUCUCCCCCAAGAGCUCACAUCGACGGGGAGGUUUGGCACCUCGAUGUCGGCUCAUCGCAUCCUGGGGCUGGAGCAGGUCCCAAGGGUAUGGCUGUUCGCCAUUUAAAGCGGUACGCGAGCUGGGUUCAGAACGUCGUGAGACAGUUCGGUCCCUAUCUGCCGUGGGCGUAAGAAGAUUGAAGAGAUUUGACCCUAGUACGAGAGGACCGGGUUGAACAAACCACUGGUGUAGCUGUUGUUCUGCCAAGAGCAUCGCAGCGUAGCUAAGUUUGGAAAGGAUAAACGCUGAAAGCAUCUAAGCGUGAAGCCAACUCUAAGAUGAAUCUUCUCUAAGCUCUCUAGAAGACUACUAGUUUGAUAGGCUGGGUGUGUAAUGGAUGAAAGUCCUUUAGCUGACCAGUACUAAUAGAGCGUUUGGCUUAUCUUU